UACGGGGGGGGCAAGCGUUGUUCGGAAUUACUGGGCGUAAAGGGCUCGUAGGUGGCCAACUAAGUCAGACGUGAAAUCCCUCAGCUUAACCGGGGAACUGCGUCUGAUACUGGAUGGCUUGAGUUUGGGAGAGGGAUGCGGAAUUCCAGGUGUAGCGGUGAAAUGCGUAGAUAUCUGGAGGAACACCGGUGGCGAAGGCGGCAUCCUGGACCAAUACUGACACUGAAAAGCGAAAGCCAGGGGAGCAAACGGG
RNAcentral lists this ribosomal RNA (253 nucleotides) under uncultured bacterium. RNAcentral describes it as "partial 16S ribosomal RNA". It matches the Rfam family "Bacterial small subunit ribosomal RNA", at positions 524 to 776 of the family's 1533-position model. The record is from RNAcentral.